Molecule: ribosomal RNA, 1774 nt
Filed under: Escherichia coli
Lineage: Bacteria; Pseudomonadati; Pseudomonadota; Gammaproteobacteria; Enterobacterales; Enterobacteriaceae
Description: bacterial LSU rRNA
Rfam family: Bacterial large subunit ribosomal RNA
Source: RNAcentral
UGUGAGCUCGAUGAGUAGGGCGGGACACGUGGUAUCCUGUCUGAAUAUGGGGGGACCAUCCUCCAAGGCUAAAUACUCCUGACUGACCGAUAGUGAACCAGUACCGUGAGGGAAAGGCGAAAAGAACCCCGGCGAGGGGAGUGAAAAAGAACCUGAAACCGUGUACGUACAAGCAGUGGGAGCACGCUUAGGCGUGUGACUGCGUACCUUUUGUAUAAUGGGUCAGCGACUUAUAUUCUGUAGCAAGGUUAACCGAAUAGGGGAGCCGAAGGGAAACCGAGUCUUAACUGGGCGUUAAGUUGCAGGGUAUAGACCCGAAACCCGGUGAUCUAGCCAUGGGCAGGUUGAAGGUUGGGUAACACUAACUGGAGGACCGAACCGACUAAUGUUGAAAAAUUAGCGGAUGACUUGUGGCUGGGGGUGAAAGGCCAAUCAAACCGGGAGAUAGCUGGUUCUCCCCGAAAGCUAUUUAGGUAGCGCCUCGUGAAUUCAUCUCCGGGGGUAGAGCACUGUUUCGGCAAGGGGGUCAUCCCGACUUACCAACCCGAUGCAAACUGCGAAUACCGGAGAAUGUUAUCACGGGAGACACACGGCGGGUGCUAACGUCCGUCGUGAAGAGGGAAACAACCCAGACCGCCAGCUAAGGUCCCAAAGUCAUGGUUAAGUGGGAAACGAUGUGGGAAGGCCCAGACAGCCAGGAUGUUGGCUUAGAAGCAGCCAUCAUUUAAAGAAAGCGUAAUAGCUCACUGGUCGAGUCGGCCUGCGCGGAAGAUGUAACGGGGCUAAACCAUGCACCGAAGCUGCGGCAGCGACGCUUAUGCGUUGUUGGGUAGGGGAGCGUUCUGUAAGCCUGUGAAGGUGUACUGUGAGGUAUGCUGGAGGUAUCAGAAGUGCGAAUGCUGACAUAAGUAACGAUAAAGCGGGUGAAAAGCCCGCUCGCCGGAAGACCAAGGGUUCCUGUCCAACGUUAAUCGGGGCAGGGUGAGUCGACCCCUAAGGCGAGGCCGAAAGGCGUAGUCGAUGGGAAACAGGUUAAUAUUCCUGUACUUGGUGUUACUGCGAAGGGGGGACGGAGAAGGCUAUGUUGGCCGGGCGACGGUUGUCCCGGUUUAAGCGUGUAGGCUGGUUUUCCAGGCAAAUCCGGAAAAUCAAGGCUGAGGCGUGAUGACGAGGCACUACGGUGCUGAAGCAACAAAUGCCCUGCUUCCAGGAAAAGCCUCUAAGCAUCAGGUAACAUCAAAUCGUACCCCAAACCGACACAGGUGGUCAGGUAGAGAAUACCAAGGCGCUUGAGAGAACUCGGGUGAAGGAACUAGGCAAAAUGGUGCCGUAACUUCGGGAGAAGGCACGCUGAUAUGUAGGUGAAGUGAUUUACUCAUGGAGCUGAAAUCAGUCGAAGAUACCAGCUGGCUGCAACUGUUUAUUAAAAACACAGCACUGUGCAAACACGAAAGUGGACGUAUACGGUGUGACGCCUGCCCGGUGCCGGAAGGUUAAUUGAUGGGGUCAGCGCAAGCGAAGCUCUUGAUCGAAGCCCCGGUAAACGGCGGCCGUAACUAUAACGGUCCUAAGGUAGCGAAAUUCCUUGUCGGGUAAGUUCCGACCUGCACGAAUGGCGUAAUGAUGGCCAGGCUGUCUCCACCCGAGACUCAGUGAAAUUGAACUCGCUGUGAAGAUGCAGUGUACCCGCGGCAAGACGGAAAGACCCCGUGAACCUUUACUAUAGCUUGACACUGAACAUUGAGCCUUGAUGUGUAGGAUAGGUGGGAGGCUU